Molecule: long non-coding RNA, 2116 nt
Filed under: Oncorhynchus kisutch (coho salmon)
Lineage: Eukaryota; Metazoa; Chordata; Actinopteri; Salmoniformes; Salmonidae
Description: lncRNA (ENSOKIG00005027504.1)
Source: RNAcentral
CUUUACUAACUGUAAGUGACCUGGAGCGUCGGCUAAAUGACUACAACGGUCAUGUAGAUCAAAAGGCACACAAUAAACUGCACAACACUGAGCAGAUUGCAUAACACAUUUAGUUCUGAUCAGGAGAAUGUGGAGAACAUGAGGAUGCACACCAGCAGUACAUUGUGGAGGAGAGAUGGUUGCUAGGGAACACCAUUAGGAGACAACACACGCAGUAUUCCUCACAGCUGAUGAGUCCAUUAAUUAGGAUCCUGGCGGUGUAGCGGUACCGUCUGGACCAGAAUCAUUAGUUACAUCUCCGACUUGAAAACAACGUGAGAGACAUCAGUUAACCUUCACACUUUGACCUUUGCACUGGCCCCCAAUUAUAGGAAACAACUGUCAGAAUGUGGCUAAGGCAGAAACAUUCAUCUGUAUUACCUCAUUAGGUCUAGUUCUUAUGUGUAACCCUUGACAACACAGUUCAUUCAUAAGAUGUAGGGCAUAGUCCUGCCACUAAGUGAGGUGUCGUUCAGACUCAGAGAAGAACAUUAGAUAUGUACAUCAUGAACUUGAGAAUAUUGCUGCUGGGCCCUUUAUCAGACUCAGAGCUGUUGUUGACAUCUGUGUUAGUGUGUGUACUGACGGUAUCUGUCUGGUGUGUUGUAGUAGUUUGCUCUCUUCCAGAAUUAGACAGACAGGUCUCCCUUCAAAAAUACAUUUCUAAUGGGAUCACCCAGUGUAAUUACAGAAUUUACAUUUGUGUAUGGUUAGGGUCCACAGUUAGUGUGAUACCACGCAAUCCACUCACACAGGGUAAUGAUCUAAAUAGGGAACACAUGCAAUCUCAGUCACUUCCCCUCAACCCAACAAGGGUUUUAUAGAACAUUUAAUCUAUCAUAUGAUAAAGGAUGAAUGAUUCACUGCACAUGCAAACCAGACACAAUCCAAGAAUUGAGGAUUGGGGGUUGAAAUCCGACCUCCAACCACAGGGUCAUGUUUGGGUUCAAACGUCACACCAAGCUGGGAUCACAACAAUCUAAAAGAAUCUUCUUCCAUCAAUGAUGCCUGAUUCCUCAUGUGUUUGUUUCUGGUGACCAUUUCAAUGGUUCUUCUAUGAGGCUAUAAUGUGUCCUCUGAAGUACUGCUAUGCAAAUGGAACCCUAUUCCCUAUAUAGUGCACUACUUUUGACCAGAGCCUUAUGGAACCAGGUCAAAAGUAGUGCACUAAAAUAGGGUAUAGGGUGCCAUUUGAGAGACAACCAUAUACCGCUGUGUUACGUGGGUAGGGUUGAUUGGGGUGAUUCUCAUUUGACUGGGAGGAGUGAGUGUCGUCAUGGAAGGUCAGUUCUCUGAAUGAAACAACGUAACAAAUCAAUUCUGCAAUUGGAAAAAACAAUGAAUCACAGAGGACACUCCACAUUCACUCCACAUUCUUCCAUGACACCUCUAUUAUAGACCUGUGUGUGUGUGUGUGUGUGUGUGUGUGUGUGUGUGUGUGUGUGUGUGUGUGUGUGUGGUUUAAGGUUGUCGUAGACUAUCACUUCAGCUUUAAUAGACAUCAGUACAGAUCAGAUGAUCAUGUAUAAUAGUGUAGUUAUGAGACACAGCUUCAACAGACAUCAGUACAGAUCAGAUGAUCAUGUAUAAUAGUGUAGUUAUGAGACACAGCUUCAACAGACAACACAACAACAGAAGCCGGUUUCAACGACACAUGUUCAUUCUACACCCUCCACCUACAGAGCCGCUGCAGGAGAAAGGAAUUAGGUGGUUCAACUUCAUUAUAAAGCUAAUACCAUGAACUCUUCAAUUCAAUAUGAUUCAAAACCACAUAUCAAACCAUUUACAUUUGAUCCCUUACAGAGCUCUUAAGAUAAGAACAAUGUGACAAUUUACAAAGUGCAUGAUUUCAUUCAUCUGUGAAAAAAGGCAUAAUUACAUGUUUUAUACCAUUCUACUUUACAUGCCUAGUUCAAGUUUGAAGCAUUUAAAUGAGGUGACACCAAUGUCAGUUACCUACAACAUAUUUACAGUAAUUACAUUAGAAUGAGUUGCUAAUAACAGACCCUGAAUCUCUGACAUACCAGUACAUGUUAAGUAGGUAGUUGUCAAAAACACCUUCCCUGCAAAACCUGCA